This 372-nucleotide long non-coding RNA is filed under the name Oryctolagus cuniculus (rabbit). RNAcentral describes it as "lncRNA (ENSOCUG00000032206.1)". The record is from RNAcentral. Lineage: Eukaryota; Metazoa; Chordata; Mammalia; Lagomorpha; Leporidae.
AUGAAUCAGGAUUUGUCAGUGGGAUGCGGGCUGAGUGCAGGGCCCCAUAGACUAGGCAGCAGGAACCCCUUCUCUCCUAGUUACAGACCCAGCUCUUCAGCUGACUGUCGGCUCCUCCAGCGAGGACUCACUGUGUUGGACCAUUCCCACCUUCCUGCAAGUGUCUCUUGGGAAACUCCUCUCUCAGCUCAGUGGAAUCAGGUAUAUGGGCUCAGUGCUUUUCGUAUGCUACAGGGAAAUCAUGAAUGUUUUAUUGAGAUGUUCCAGCUUUACUACAUAAUCACAGGUGAGUUGACUAGGCACAAAUGCUAAAUAAUUUAGAAUUAAAUGUUCAUGGAACCCAGUGCAUCUGUACUGGGAUAUCUUAAUUUA